CGACCCCAGGUCAGGCAGGAUUACCCACUGAGUUUAAGCAUAUCAAUAAGCGGAGGAAAAAAAAUUUACCAGGAUUCCCCUAGUAACGGCGAGUGAACUGGGAAAAGCCCAGCUUCAGAAUCGGUCGCCAUCAGUGUCCGAAUUGUACUCUAGAGAAGCAUUCUCAGCGACGGACCGGGCCCAAGUCCCCUGGAAAAGGGCACCGGAGAGGGUGAGAGCCCUAUCGUGCUCGGACCCUGUCGUACCACGAGGCGCUGUCUAUGAGUCGGGUUGUUUGGGAAUGCAACCCGAAUAGGGCGGUAAGUUCCGCCCAAGGCUAAAUAUGGGCGAGAGAUCGAUAGCGAACAAGUACUGCGAGGGAAAGAUGAAAAGGACUUUGAAAAGAGUGUCAAAGAGUGCUUGAAAUUGUCAGGAGGGAAGCGGAUGGGGGCCAGUGAUGCGCCCCGGUUAGAUCUAGAAUGACGAGAGUCGGUCCGCUGAUCAGCUCGGGGCGUGGACCGACGCAGGUCGUGGCGGUGGUCGAAGCCCAGGCCUUUGAUAUGCCCGUGGAGACGUUGUCGGAUCGAUCGUGGGAUUCAGCACACGCCGUCUCGGCGUGGUUCUAAGACCGGCGUGCUCGAAGGCCACUGCGCAGUUCGUGAUUCACCCGUCUUGAAACACAGACCAAAGAGUCUGACAUGUGUGCGAGUCAACGGGCUAGAAAACCCGUAAGGCUCAAGGAAGCUGAUUGAAGGGAUCCCUCACGGGUGCACCGCUGACCGACCUUGAUCUUUUGAGUAGGGUUCAAGUGAGAGUAUGCCUGUCGGGACUCGAAAGAUGGUGAACUAUGCCUGAGCAGGGCAAAGCUAGAGGAAACUCUGGUGGAGGCCCGUAGUGAUACUUACGUGCAAAUCGUUCGUCUGACUUGGGUAGAGGGGCGAAAGACUAAUCGAACCGUCUAGUAGCUGGUUCCAUCCGAAGUUUCCCUCAGGAUAGCUGGAGCCUUUAGCGACUUCUAUUGGGUAAAGCCAAUGAUUAGUGGCAUCGGGAGAGCAACGCCCUCGACCUAUUCUAAAACUUUAAAUAGGUAGGACGGCGCAGCUGCUUCCUUGAGCCGCGCCACAGAAACGAGAGCUCCAAGUGGGCCAUUUUUGGUAAGCAGAACUGGCGAAGCGGGAUGAAUCGAAGUCAGAUUCUGAGGCCCAAUCACAGAUUAAGCUAAAACCCACAAAGGGUGUUGGUCGAUUAAGACAGCAGGACGGUGGUCAUGGAAGUCGAAAUACACUAAGGAGUGUGUAACAACUCACUUGCCGAAUCAACUAGCCCCGAAAAUGGAUGGCGCUUAAGCGCGCAACCUACACCCGGCCAUCGGGGCAAGGGCCAGGCCCCGAUGAGUAGGAAGGCACGUCAAUCACCGUAAAACUGGGGGCAUGAGCCCGGACGGAGCGACCGUCGGUGCAGAUCUUGGUGGUAGUAGCAAAUAUUCAAAUCAGAACUUUGAAGGCCGAAGAGGGGAAAGGUUCCAUGUUAACGGCACUUGCACAUGGGUUAGUCGAUCCUAAGAGACGGGGGAAGCCCGUCCGAUAGUGCGUCCAGCCCGAGCUUCGAAAGGGUAUCGGGUUAAAAUUCCUGAACCUGGACGCCGCGGCUGACGGCAUCGUUAGGGAGUCCAAAGACAUCGGCAGGGGCCUCUAGAAGAGUUAUCUUUUCUGUUUAACGGUCUGCCCACCCUGGAAAUGGCUCAGCCGGAGGACCGAGUGUCGUCUGCGCCCCGGGCGGUGUCCGAAGACGUCGCGUGGUGUCCGGUGUGCCCCCGGUGGCCCUUGAAAAUCUGGAAGACCGAGUGUCGUCUGCGCUCAGUCGUACUCAAAACCGCAUCAGGUCUCCAAGGUGAAUAGCCUCUGGUCAAUGGAACUAUGUAGGCAAGGGAAGUCGGCAAAAUGGAUCCCUAACCUUAAGAAAAGGAUUGGCUCUGAGGGAUGGGCACGGGGUCCCGAUCCGAACCGUUAUCGCCAGCACUACUCGAGCCGCUCUGGCGGUGAGAGAGUGUCGAUGUGUGCGGCCGGGGAUGAUCGAACGGCUCCCUGGGGCCUUCCCGAACAACGAACGAUUGACUCGAGAAUCGGUACGGACAAGAGGAAUCUAACUGCUUAAUUAAAACAAAGAAUUGCGAUGGUCUCUGCGGAUGCUCACGCAAUGUGAUUUACCUUGAUGCUCAAUGUCAAAGUGAAGAAAUUCAACCAAUCGUGGGUAAAUGGUCGAGUAACUAUGACUCUCUUAAGGUAGCCAAAUACCUCGCCAUCUAAUUAGUGACGCGUAUGAAUGGAUUAACGAGAUUCCCAUUGUCCCCGCUUCACUAUCCAAUAAACCACGACCAAGGAGCAGGCUUGGCGUAAUCGAUGGGGAAAGAAGACCUGUUGAGCUUGACUCUAGUCCCACUUUGUGAAAUGACUUGAGAGGUGUAGGAUAAGUGGGAGCUCUCGGGUGAAAUUGAAAUACCACUACUUUUAAUGUUAUUUUACUUAUUCGUGAAUCGGAGGAGGGCACGGCCCGCUUUUUGAUUCCAAGGCGGCUUCUACCGACCGAUCCGUGGAAGACAUUGUCAAGUGGGGAGUUUGGUGAGGCGGCACAUCCGUUAAAAGAUAACGCAGUGUCCUAAGAUGAGCUCAACAAGAAUGUAAAUCUCGUGUGGAACAAAAGGGUAAAAGCUCGUUUGAUUUCGAUUUCGAUCUGAAUACAAACUGUGGAAGCGUGGCCUAUCGAUCCUUUAGACCUUCGGAAUUUGAAGCUAGAGGUGUUAGAAAAGUUACCACAGGGAUAACUAGCUUGUUGCAGCCAAGCGUUCAUAACGACGUUGCUUUUUGAUCUUUCGAGGUGGGCUCUUCCUAUCAUUGUGAAGCAGAAUUCACCAAGUGUUGGCUUGUUCACCCACCAAUAGGGAACGUGAGCUGGGUUUAGACCGUCGUGAGACAGGUUAGUUUUACCCUUCUGAUGGUCGUGUCGCAAUAUUAAUUCGACCUAGUACGAGAGAAACUGUUGAUUCGCACAAUUGGUCAUCGCGCUUGGUUGAAAAGCCGCGGUACGGGCUACCGUCUUACCGGAUUAUGAGCGAACGCCUAAGUCGUAAUCCGGAUAGAAGUGGCGACGUGCCGCCGCCUGAUUGUCGACCCGCGAUGGGGACUCGCCCCAAGGGCACGCCUCGUAGGUAAGUGGUCGCGCGCACAAGUCGUGGGCGCCUCGAGUGUAAUUCCCACGAACGGUGGGUAGAAUCCUUGCGCACGACUUAAAUACUGUGACGGGUAUUGUAAGUGGCGAGUGGCCUUGCCGCCACGAUCCAUCGAGAUUCAGCCCAUUGUCGCUUCGAUUCGU
Molecule: ribosomal RNA, 3348 nt
Organism: Gossypium raimondii (Peruvian cotton)
Lineage: Eukaryota; Viridiplantae; Streptophyta; Magnoliopsida; Malvales; Malvaceae
Source: RefSeq, a predicted model, not a curated record